RNAcentral lists this ribosomal RNA (2894 nucleotides) under Faecalitalea cylindroides. Its description in RNAcentral is "23S ribosomal RNA". It matches the Rfam family "Bacterial large subunit ribosomal RNA". The record is from RNAcentral. Lineage: Bacteria; Bacillati; Bacillota; Erysipelotrichia; Erysipelotrichales; Erysipelotrichaceae.
UGAUUAAGUAAGGAAGGGCGUACGGAGGAUGCCUUGCCACUCGAAACUGAAGAAGGACGUGCCAAACUGCGAAAUGCGGCGGUGAGCUGUAAGGAAGCGAAGACCCGCCGAUCUCCGAAUGGGGGAACCCGGCCGGCCACACAGCCGGUCACCGCACGGUGAACACAUAGCCGUGCAGGGAGGUACCCGGUGAACUGAAACAUCUAAGUAACCGGAGGAAAAGAAAACAACAGUGAUUCCCUGAGUAGCGGCGAGCGAAAGGGGAGAAGCCCAAACCGGUCUUUGGACCGGGGUUGAAGGACCGCGGGAUGACAAGAAGGAGCAUAGACGAACGCGAUUGAAAGCGCGACCGAAGAAGGUGCAAGUCCUGUAGUCGAAAUGGUCCGGAAGUCUAGCGGGAUCCUGAGUACGGCGAGACACGAGGAAUCUUGUCGGAAGCAGGCGGGACCAUCCGCCAAGGCUAAAUAUAAACGAGUGAGCGAUAGUGAACCAGUACCGUGAGGGAAAGGUGAAAAGAACCGCGGGAGCGGAGUGAAAGAGAACCUGAAACCGUAUGCCUACAAGAAGUCAGAGCCCGUUAAAGGGUGAUGGCGUGCCUUUUGUAGAAUGAACCGGCGAGUUACGGAAAGAUGCGAGGUUAAGUCGGAAAGGACGGAGCCGCAGCGAAAGCGAGUCUGAAGAGGGCGAGAGUAGACUUCCGUAGACCCGAAACCGGGUGAUCUAGCCAUGAGCAGGUUGAAGUUGAGGUGAAACUCAAUGGAGGACCGAACCGACCACCGUUGAAAAGUUGGCGGAUGACUUGUGGCUAGCGGAGAAAUUCCAAUCGAACCCGGAGAUAGCUGGUUCUCCCCGAAAUAGCUUUAGGGCUAGCGUCGGAAUGAACCCAUGUGAAGGUAGAGCACUGAAUGUGUGAUGGCCCCAUCCCGGGGUACUGAAUACAAUCAAACUCCGAAUGUCAUGUGGGAUGUCCGGCAGUCAGACUGUGAGUGAUAAGGUCCAUGGUCGAGAGGGAAACAGCCCAGACCGCCAGUUAAGGUCCCAAAAUGCAGGCUAAGUGGAAAAGGAUGUGGGGAUGCCCAGACAACUAGGAGGUUGGCUCAGAAGCAGCCACCCUUUAAAGAGUGCGUAACAGCUCACUAGUCGAGUGACCCUGCGCCGAAAAUGUACCGGGGCUAAGCCUGAUACCGAAACUGCGGAAUCGAAUGAUUGGUAGGGGAGCGUUGUAUACGGGUGGAAGCCGUACCGUGAGGAGCGGUGGACUGUAUAGAAGUGAGAAUGCCGGUGUGAGUAGCGAGAUGUAGGUGAGAAUCCUACACACCGAAAGCCCAAGGAUUCCAGGGGAAGGUUCGUCCGCCCUGGGUAAGUCGGGACCUAACGCGAGGCCGAAAGGCGUAGUGGAUGGAAAGCAGGCGGAGAUUCCUGCACCCGUAUGUGGAGCGAUGGAGUGACGGAGACGGCUAAUGUGACCCUCUUAACGGAUUGAGGGCGAAGCGGGGUAGCGGUCGACCAGGCAAAUCCGGUCGGCAAAACGCGAAGACGUGACAGGGAAGCGAACGCUUUGGCAAGUAGCGAAGCACAUGAGGCCGGCUUCCAAGAAAAGCUUCUGGCAAUGCACAUGCGGCCCGUACCAAAACCGACACAGGUGGGCAGGUAGAGGAUACCAAGGUGAGCGAGAGAACUGUUGCCAAGGAACUCGGCAAAAUGGCUCCGUACGUUCGCAAGAAGGAGCGCUUAUGAAAAUAAGCCGCAGUGAAUAGGCCCAAGCGACUGUUUAACUAAAACACAGCUCUCUGCGAAGUCGCAAGACGAAGUAUAGGGGGUGACACCUGCCCGGUGCCGGAAGGUUAAGAGGAUCUGUCAAUCGCAAGAUGAAGCAGUGAGUUGAAGCCCCGGUGAACGGCGGCCGUAACUAUAACGGUCCUAAGGUAGCGAAAUUCCUUGUCAGGUAAGUUCUGACCCGCACGAAAGGUGUAACGAUUUGGGCGCUGUCUCGGCAGCAGGCUCGGUGAAAUCUUAGUACCUGUGAAAAUGCAGGUUACCCGCAACUAGACGGAAAGACCCCAUGGAGCUUUACUGUAGCCUGGUAUUGGAUUUUGGUCAGACAUGUACAGGAUAGGUGGGAGACUGUGAGACGUGCACGCCAGUGUACGAGGAGUCGCCGUUGGGAUACCACUCUUGUGUGAUCGGAGUUCUAACCUGGUGGCCUGAACCGGCCAUAGGGAGAGUGCCAGGUGGGCAGUUUGACUGGGGCGGUCGCCUCCCAAAGAGUAACGGAGGCGCCCAAAGGUACGCUCAGAUUGGAUGGAAACCAAUCGCCGAGUGCAAAUGCAGAAGCGUGCUUGACUGUGAGAGCAACAACUCGAACAGGGACGAAAGUCGGGAUUAGUGAUCCGGCGGUGCCGAAUGGAAGGGCCGUCGCUCAACGGAUAAAAGCUACCCUGGGGAUAACAGGCUGAUCUCGCCCAAGAGUUCACAUCGACGGCGAGGUUUGGCACCUCGAUGUCGGCUCAUCGCAUCCUGGAGCUGGAUUCGGUUCCAAGGGUUGGGCUGUCCGCCCAUUAAAGCGGUACGCGAGCUGGGUUCAGAACGUCGUGAGACAGUUCGGUCCCUAUCUGUUGUGGGCGAAGGAGAUUUGAGGAGAGCUGCCCUUAGUACGAGAGGACCGGGGUGGACCUACCGCUGGUGCACCAGUUGUAUCGCCAGAUGCAUAGCUGGGUAGCUAAGUAGGGAAGGGAUAAGCGCUGAAAGCAUCUAAGCACGAAGCCUACUCCAAGAUGAGAUCUCCCAUUCGCAAGAAGUAAGACCCCUUGAAGACGACGAGGUAGAUAGGCCAGGGAUGGAAGUGCAGCGAUGCAUGGAGUUGACUGGUACUAAUCGGUCGAGGACUUAAUCAG